CGGGGUGUAGCGCAGUCUGGUAGCGCACCUGAAUGGGGUUCAGGUGGUCGCCGGUUCAAAUCCGGCCACCCCGA
This 74-nucleotide transfer RNA is filed under the name Dehalococcoidia bacterium. Its description in RNAcentral is "tRNA-Pro". It matches the Rfam family "tRNA". Rfam says of the family: Transfer RNA (tRNA) molecules are approximately 80 nucleotides in length. Their secondary structure includes four short double-helical elements and three loops (D, anti-codon, and T loops). Further hydrogen bonds mediate the characteristic L-shaped molecular structure. tRNAs have two regions of fundamental functional importance: the anti-codon, which is responsible for specific mRNA codon recognition, and the 3' end, to which the tRNAs corresponding amino acid is attached (by aminoacyl-tRNA synthetases). tRNAs cope with the degeneracy of the genetic code in two manners: having more than one tRNA (with a specific anti-codon) for a particular amino acid; and 'wobble' base-pairing, i.e. permitting non-standard base-pairing at the 3rd anti-codon position. Lineage: Bacteria; Bacillati; Chloroflexota; Dehalococcoidia. RNAcentral also lists the same sequence under 1 other name. The record is from RNAcentral.